AUGAUGGGGUGCUCCCGGAUACCGGGUUCCCAUGGGUUAGUGGCAUGGAAACGAGUGACAAUACGGACACGGUGUAGACAAAGGGUGCAUCUCAUACAACACAAGCAUUCGUACUCGGACGCCCAUCUCGGCGGUUAUACCUUUGUAGUGUGCAUUAUCGGAGCGGUACGAGUUCGAUGUGGUGUAGGGAAAGUAGACGUUCUCGGGAUGUUCGUAGUGGAAGUAGUCGUUCUCGCAUGCUCUAGGGUCGAUGGAAGAGGUUCUCGCGACUCGGCGACGGUAGUUGUACAUGUUGGCGGUAGUCGAACUUGA
This 312-nucleotide ribosomal RNA is filed under the name Triticum aestivum (bread wheat). RNAcentral describes it as "partial small subunit ribosomal RNA". The record is from RNAcentral. Lineage: Eukaryota; Viridiplantae; Streptophyta; Magnoliopsida; Poales; Poaceae.